Molecule: ribosomal RNA, 516 nt
Filed under: uncultured bacterium
Lineage: Bacteria
Description: partial 16S ribosomal RNA
Source: RNAcentral
ACCAGACGAUGCGGUUACCGCGGCUGCUGGCACGGAGUUAGCCGGUGCUUCUUCUGUGAGUGAUGUCCUUCCUGCCGGCUAUUAACCCGCAGGCCUUCUUCCUCACUGAAAGUGCUUUACAACCCGAAGGCCUUCUUCACACACGCGGCAUGGCUGGAUCAGGGUUGCCCCCAUUGUCCAAUAUUCCCCACUGCUGCCUCCCGUAGGAGCUGGGCCGUGUCUCAGUCCCAGUGUGGCUGAUCAUCCUCUCAGACCAGCUACGGAUCGUCGCCUUGGUGAGCCGUUACCUCACCAACCAGCUAAUCCGACAUAGGCUCAUCCGAUAGCGCGAGGCCCGAAGGUCCCCCGCUUUCCCCCGUAGGGCGUAUGCGGUAUUAGCCUGGGUUUCCCCAGGUUAUCCCCACUACCGGGCAGAUUCCUAUGCAUUACUCACCCGUCCGCCGCUCGCCACCAGGGAGCAAGCUCCCCGUGCUGCCGCUCGACUUGCAUGUGUUAGGCCUGCCGCCAGCGUUCAAU